AUGCCAGGCUUCUGUUUAAGAAAGAGACCUGUUUUACUGUGUUAAUGUUUUCAUUUUGAGCUAAAAAUAAAUGGUUAAAUGAUCAUUUGUUCAUAUCACAAAGAAUAUGCAUCUGCUUAAAUCAACUUCAAGUCAAAUGGUUAAAAAAAUAAUUUCACACACAAAAAAAAAGAGCUACCACACUGGGAAGGGUGAAGACAACUGGGUUGCCCGGCCCUGGCCACGAGGUGUCCCUUAUUUAUCUUUCAGGGAGUUGGCAACCCUAAUGGUUAGGGACAAUUGCAAUCACAUGGCAGGAUGAACUUCAUUCACAAGAACAACUGAGAUAAUCCAUCCACAAUACAAGGUUAGUCAUUAAUAUACUGCUGCAUGGGCUGGGCUGUAGUUUCAUCAUAAGGGUUUAAAAAUUGAGCUUUAAAAUGAUUAGCGGUGAUAAAAAAAUGAGACAGUGAUCACUGACUGUUUUUGGGGGCUUGUUGAGAUUAAAUAGAACAAGAUACAAAGCAUUAAAACAUGUUAAAAACACAACAGCCUUAAUAAAUGCAGAGUAGUUUGGGCCUGGAAGCAGGAUUCAUUACGUCAUCACUUAAAGACCGGAUAACAGAAACUACCACAAAGACUAUCCUGAUUACUUUGAAAGAUACAGUUACAGAAUGUCGCAAAUCCAUCUUUAAGCUUGAAAUGAAAAUAAAACAAACAAAAGAAAAACAAAAAAUAAAUAGUAAACGCAUAGUCAAACACUUAGCUCUGUUACAGCUGUGUUAUCCCAUACAGCAUAGUCUCCUCUAAACUGACAAUUUGUUUAAUAAAAUUAAAGUAUUUUUUAAUUUAAUUUUAAUUUUACUUCCUCAGAUCUUCUGUAUGAUACAGCAAUAUCUUAGAGAGAACACAGGUAAACACAGAAAAAAUUGGAUGCAUUAACAGAGAUGACAACCUCCAGGAGAGGAUGACCUGCAGGAUGAAAAACAGCCAAAUGGAAACCGCUUUACUAAACAUCAGUUAUUGUUCGCUUCAUUGCUGUGGGUUGAUUUAGGUCUUGCUUACAGAUGAAGGCAAAAAGAGAGGGUGGAGACAAAACAUCAACAUUUUAAAUGCAUUUUCAAAACCAAGCCUUCAAUCUCACCUCUAGCCCACGGGGACAUGAAACAAAGUCUCA
Long non-coding RNA from Astatotilapia calliptera (eastern happy), 1156 nucleotides. NCBI's taxonomy places the organism in Eukaryota, Metazoa, Chordata, Actinopteri, Cichliformes, Cichlidae. The record is from Ensembl.